AGAGAGCUGGACCUGAGCUACAAUCAUCCAGGAGAGGCUGGAAUGAAGCUGCUUUCUGCUGCACUGGAGGAUCCACACUGGAGACUGAACACUCUCAGGGCGGAGCCUGCUGGAGUCCAGUGGUUGACUCCAGGUCUGAGGAAGUAUUCCUGUCACCUCACAAUCGACACAAACACAGUGAACAGAAACCUCAAACUGUC
Molecule: long non-coding RNA, 200 nt
Organism: Oryzias melastigma (Indian medaka)
Lineage: Eukaryota; Metazoa; Chordata; Actinopteri; Beloniformes; Adrianichthyidae
Exons: 3
Source: RefSeq, a predicted model, not a curated record